RNAcentral lists this non-coding RNA (24 nucleotides) under Arabidopsis thaliana (thale cress). The record is from RNAcentral. Lineage: Eukaryota; Viridiplantae; Streptophyta; Magnoliopsida; Brassicales; Brassicaceae.
UCCGAAUGGUGACAGCGGAUUGAG